GAUGAACGCUGGCGGCGUGCCUAACACAUGCAAGUCGAGCGAACCCCUUCGGGGGAGAGCGGCGGACGGGUGAGUAACGCGUGGGUAACCUACCCUGUACACACGGAUAACAUACCGAAAGGUUUACUAAUACGUGAUGACAUAUCAGACAGGCAUCUGUUUGAUAUCAAAGGUCAGCUGGUACAGGAUGGACCCGCGUCUGAUUAGCUAGUUGGUGAGAUAAAAGCUCACCAAGGCGACGAUCAGUAGCCGACCUGAGAGGGUGAUCAGCCACACUGGGACUGAGACACGGCCCAGACUCCUACGGGAGGCAGCAGUGGGGAAUAUUGGACAAUGGGCGAAAGCCUGAUCCAGCAAUACCGAGUGAGUGAUGAAGGCCUUAGGGUUGUAAAGCUCUUUUA
Molecule: ribosomal RNA, 401 nt
Filed under: uncultured Rickettsia sp.
Lineage: Bacteria; Pseudomonadati; Pseudomonadota; Alphaproteobacteria; Rickettsiales; Rickettsiaceae
Description: bacterial SSU rRNA
Rfam family: Bacterial small subunit ribosomal RNA
Source: RNAcentral